This 254-nucleotide ribosomal RNA is filed under the name uncultured bacterium. RNAcentral describes it as "partial 16S ribosomal RNA". It matches the Rfam family "Bacterial small subunit ribosomal RNA", at positions 524 to 776 of the family's 1533-position model. The record is from RNAcentral.
UACAGAGGUCUCAAGCGUUGUUCGGAAUUACUGGGCGUAAAGCGUAUGCAGGCGGAUCGUUAAGUCGGGGGUGAAAUCCCGAGGCUCAACCUCGGAACUGCCUUCGAUACUGGCGAUCUUCGAGUCCGGGAGAGGUGAGUGGAACUCCGAGUGUAGAGGUGAAAUUCGUAGAUAUUCGGAAGAACACCAGUGGCGAAGGCGGCUCACUGGCCCGGUACUGACGCUGAGAUACGAAAGCGUGGGGAGCAAACAGG